GAACGGGUGAGUAACACGUGAGUAACCUGCCCUUGACUCUGGGAUAAGCCCGGGAAACUGGGUCUAAUACCGGAUAGGAGCGCCUGUCGCAUGACGGGUGUUGGAAAGAUUUUUCGGUCAUGGAUGGACUCGCGGCCUAUCAGCUUGUUGGUGAGGUAAUGGCUCACCAAGGCGACGACGGGUAGCCGGCCUGAGAGGGUGACCGGCCACACUGGGACUGAGACACGGCCCAGACUCCUACGGGAGGCAGCAGUGGGGAAUAUUGCACAAUGGGCGGAAGCCUGAUGCAGCGACGCCGCGUGAGGGAUGACGGCCUUCGGGUUGUAAACCUCUUUCAGUAGGGAAGAAGCGAAAGUGACGGUACCUGCAGAAGAAGCACCGGCUAACUACGUGCCAGCAGCCGCGGUAAUACGUAGGGUGCGAGCGUUAUCCGGAAUUAUUGGGCGUAAAGAGCUCGUAGGCGGUUUGUCGCGUCUGUCGUGAAAGUCCGGGGCUUAACCCCGGAUCUGCGGUGGGUACGGGCAGACUAGAGUGCAGUAGGGGAGACUGGAAUUCCUGGUGUAGCGGUGGAAUGCGCAGAUAUCAGGAGGAACACCGAUGGCGAAGGCAGGUCUCUGGGCUGUAACUGACGCUGAGGAGCGAAAGCAUGGGGAGCGAACAGGAUUAGAUACCCUGGUAGUCCAUGCCGUAAACGUUGGGCACUAGGUGUGGGGACCAUUCCCACGGUUUCCGCGCCGCAGCUAACGCAUUAAGUGCCCCGCCUGGGGAGUACGGCCGCAAGGCUAAAACUCAAAGGAAUU
Molecule: ribosomal RNA, 800 nt
Filed under: Micrococcus sp. DEM1
Lineage: Bacteria; Bacillati; Actinomycetota; Actinomycetes; Micrococcales; Micrococcaceae
Description: bacterial SSU rRNA
Rfam family: Bacterial small subunit ribosomal RNA
Source: RNAcentral